Molecule: ribosomal RNA, 491 nt
Filed under: uncultured bacterium
Lineage: Bacteria
Description: partial 16S ribosomal RNA
Rfam family: Bacterial small subunit ribosomal RNA
Source: RNAcentral
GUGAACGCUGGCGGUAGGCCUAACACAUGCCAGUCGAACGGCAGCACAGUAAGAGCUUGCUCUUACGGGUGGCGAGUGGCGGACGGGUGAGGAAUACAUCGGAAUCUACUUUUUCGUGGGGGAUAACGUAGGGAAACUUACGCUAAUACCGCAUACGACCUACGGGUGAAAGCAGGGGAUCUUCGGACCUUGCGCGAUUGAAUGAGCCGAUGUCGGAUUAGCUAGUUGGCGGGGUAAAGGCCCACCAAGGCGACGAUCCGUAGCUGGUCUGAGAGGAUGAUCAGCCACACUGGAACUGAGACACGGUCCAGACUCCUACGGGAGGCAGCAGUGGGGAAUAUUGGACAAUGGGCGCAAGCCUGAUCCAGCCAUACCGCGUGGGUGAAGAGGGCCUUCGGGUUGUAAAGCCCUUUUGUUGGGAAAGAAAAGCAGCAGGUUAAUACCCCGCUGUUCUGACGGUACCCAAAGAAUAAGCACCGGCUAACUUCGUG